UGGUUCUGGCAUCGAUGAAGAACGCAGCGAAAUGCGAUAAGUAAUGUGAAUUGCAGAAUUCAGUGAAUCAUCGAAUCUUUGAACGCACAUUGCGCCCGCCAGUAUUCUGGCGGGCAUGCCUGUUCGAGCGUCAUUUCAACCCCUUAAGCCCCUGUUGCUUAGCGUUGGGAGCCUACGGCCCGCCGUAGCUCCUCAAAGUUAGUGGCGGAGUCGGCCCGUACCCCAGGCGUAGUAGUUCAUUCAGCUCGCCCGCGGUCGGACCGGUCCCCUGCCGUAAAACACACCAUUUUCUCGCAAGGUUGACCUCGGAUCAGGUAGGGAUACCCGCUGA
This 331-nucleotide unclassified non-coding RNA is filed under the name uncultured fungus. RNAcentral's name for it is "partial contains 5.8S ribosomal RNA and internal transcribed spacer 2". The stretch from base 1 to 133 matches the Rfam family "5.8S ribosomal RNA", at positions 22 to 154 of the family's 154-position model. Lineage: Eukaryota; Fungi. The record is from RNAcentral.